RNAcentral lists this ribosomal RNA (468 nucleotides) under uncultured bacterium. RNAcentral's name for it is "partial 16S ribosomal RNA". It matches the Rfam family "Bacterial small subunit ribosomal RNA", at positions 28 to 507 of the family's 1533-position model. The record is from RNAcentral.
GACGAACGCUGGCGGCGUGCUUAACACAUGCAAGUCGAACGGAAAGGCCCUGCUUUUGUGGGGUGCUCGAGUGGCGAACGGGUGAGUAACACGUGAGUAACCUGCCCUUGACUUUGGGAUAACUUCAGGAAACUGGGGCUAAUACCGGAUAGGAGCUCCUGCUGCAUGGUGGGGGUUGGAAAGUUUCGGCGGUGUGGGAUGGACUCGCGGCUUAUCAGCUAGUUGGUGGGGUAGUGGCUGACGAAGGCUUUGACGGGUAGCCGGCCUGGGAGGGUGAACGGCCUCAUGGGGCCUACGGGACGCCCCAGACGCCUACGUUAGGCAGCAGUGGGGAAUAUUACGCAAUAGGCCGAAGUCUGAUACAGCAGUGCCGCGUGCGUAAUGACGGCCUUCUAGGGAUAAACCGCUUUGGCCUGAGACGUGGCGGUAGUGACGGUAAUUGGUAAAGAAGCACCGGCUAACUACGUG